UGCAGUCGAGCGAAUGGAUUAAGAGCUUGCUCUUAUGAAGUUAGCGGCGGACGGGUGAGUAACACGUGGGUAACCUGCCCAUAAGACUGGGAUAACUCCGGGAAACCGGGGCUAAUACCGGAUAACAUUUUGAACCGCAUGGUUCGAAAUUGAAAGGCGGCUUCGGCUGUCACUUAUGGAUGGACCCGCGUCGCAUUAGCUAGUUGGUGAGGUAACGGCUCACCAAGGCAACGAUGCGUAGCCGACCUGAGAGGGUGAUCGGCCACACUGGGACUGAGACACGGCCCAGACUCCUACGGGAGGCAGCAGUAGGGAAUCUUCCGCAAUGGACGAAAGUCUGACGGAGCAACGCCGCGUGAGUGAUGAAGGCUUUCGGGUCGUAAAACUCUGUUGUUAGGGAAGAACAAGUGCUAGUUGAAUAAGCUGGCACCUUGACGGUACCUAACCAGAAAGCCACGGCUAACUACGUGCCAGCAGCCGCGGUAAUACGUAGGUGGCAAGCGUUAUCCGGAAUUAUUGGGCGUAAAGCGCGCGCAGGUGGUUUCUUAAGUCUGAUGUGAAAGCCCACGGCUCAACCGUGGAGGGUCAUUGGAAACUGGGAGACUUGAGUGCAGAAGAGGAAAGUGGAAUUCCAUGUGUAGCGGUGAAUGCGUAGAGAUAUGGAGGAACACCAGUGGCGAAGGCGACUUUCUGGUCUGUAACUGACACUGAGGCGCGAAA
This 720-nucleotide ribosomal RNA is filed under the name Bacillus thuringiensis. RNAcentral describes it as "bacterial SSU rRNA". It matches the Rfam family "Bacterial small subunit ribosomal RNA", at positions 56 to 758 of the family's 1533-position model. Lineage: Bacteria; Bacillati; Bacillota; Bacilli; Caryophanales; Bacillaceae. The record is from RNAcentral.